Molecule: long non-coding RNA, 711 nt
Organism: Notolabrus celidotus (New Zealand spotty)
Lineage: Eukaryota; Metazoa; Chordata; Actinopteri; Labriformes; Labridae
Exons: 5
Source: RefSeq, a predicted model, not a curated record
CAGCUUUAAACAGGAUAUUUCCCACCUUUGGAUACGAAGGCAACAGACAGGUGAUCUCAGGAACAGAUCCAGAGCAGAGACCAGGAGCAGUGCAGCUCAGUGUGGUCUUCUGUCCCUCAGUCAGAGAAGGAAUCGUCACUGUGGGCUUCUGGGUCAGAUCUGAUGGGAGAGAGAUCCAUGAGUGGAGGCAGGUGAUUUCAGGAACAGAUCCAGAGCAGAGACCAGGAGCAGUGCAGCUCAGUGUGGUCUGCUGUCCCUCCUUCAGAGGAGGAAUCAUCAUUGUGGGCUUCUGAGUCAGAUCUAAUGGAAGAGAGGUCCACAAUUAGGUGAUCUCAGGAACAGACCCAGAGCAGAGACCAGGUGCAGUGCAGCUCAGUGUGGUUUGCUGUCCUUCUGUCAAUGGAGGGAUCAUCACUGCAGGCUUCUGGGUCAGAUCUGUAGGGAGAUUGGUCCAUCAGAAGCAGGGACUUGGCUUGGGAACCGGAGGGUCGUCGGUUGGAGUCCCAGCAUGGACGAAAAUUGGAAAGUGGACUGGUAGCUGGAGAGGUGUUGGUUCACUUGCAUGGCUACUGUCGAGGUGUCCUUGUGCAAGGCACCGAACCUCCAACUGCUCGGGGCGCGCUGGUUGUUGGCAGCAUCCACACUCUGACAUCUCUCCCUAAGUGCAUGUCCACUGCAUGUUUGUGAAUAAAAUUGUAUGUAUAUACCAAA